This 496-nucleotide ribosomal RNA is filed under the name uncultured bacterium. RNAcentral describes it as "partial 16S ribosomal RNA". It matches the Rfam family "Bacterial small subunit ribosomal RNA", at positions 28 to 506 of the family's 1533-position model. The record is from RNAcentral.
GAUGAACGCUGGCGGCGUGCCUAAUACAUGCAAGUCGAGCGAACAGACGAGGAGCUUGCUCCUCUGACGUUAGCGGCGGACGGGUGAGUAACACGUGGAUAACCUACCUAUAAGACUGGGAUAACUUCGGGAAACCGGAGCUAAUACCGGAUAAUAUAUUGAACCGCAUGGUUCAAUAGUGAAAGACGGUUUUGCUGUCACUUAUAGAUGGAUCCGCGCCGCAUUAGCUAGUUGGUAAGGUAACGGCUUACCAAGGCAACGAUGCGUAGCUGACCUGAGAGGGUGAUCGGCCACACUGGAACUGAGACACGGUCCAGACUCCUACGGGGGGCAGCAGUAGGGAAUCUUCCGCAAUGGGCGAAAGCCUGACGGAGCAACGCCGCGUGAGUGAUGAAGGUCUUCGGAUCGUAAAACUCUGUUAUUAGGGAAGAACAAAUGUGUAAGUAACUAUGCACGUCUUGACGGUACCUAAUCAGAAAGCCACGGCUAACUACGU